UGGCUCAGGACGAACGCUGGCGGCGUGCCUAAUACAUGCAAGUCGAGCGGACAGAAGGGAGCUUGCUCCCGGAUGUUAGCGGCGGACGGGUGAGUAACACGUGGGUAACCUGCCUGUAAGACUGGGAUAACUCCGGGAAACCGGAGCUAAUACCGGAUAGUUCCUUGAACCGCAUGGUUCAAGGAUGAAAGACGGUUUCGGCUGUCACUUACAGAUGGACCCGCGGCGCAUUAGCUAGUUGGUGGGGUAAUGGCUCACCAAGGCGACGAUGCGUAGCCGACCUGAGAGGGUGAUCGGCCACACUGGGACUGAGACACGGCCCAGACUCCUACGGGAGGCAGCAGUAGGGAAUCUUCCGCAAUGGACGAAAGUCUGACGGAGCAACGCCGCGUGAGUGAUGAAGGUUUUCGGAUCGUAAAGCUCUGUUGUUAGGGAAGAACAAGUGCGAGAGUAACUGCUCGCACCUUGACGGUACCUAACCAGAAAGCCACGGCUAACUA
This 500-nucleotide ribosomal RNA is filed under the name Bacillus pumilus. RNAcentral describes it as "bacterial SSU rRNA". It matches the Rfam family "Bacterial small subunit ribosomal RNA", at positions 20 to 503 of the family's 1533-position model. The record is from RNAcentral. Lineage: Bacteria; Bacillati; Bacillota; Bacilli; Caryophanales; Bacillaceae.